AAAUAAGAAGCAAAACUUUGCGUUUAGUUUCGACCUAAAAAUUUGAAUAAUAUCCUUAUUUU
Molecule: transfer RNA, 62 nt
Filed under: Chaetocnema confinis
Lineage: Eukaryota; Metazoa; Arthropoda; Insecta; Coleoptera; Chrysomelidae
Description: tRNA-Arg
Source: RNAcentral